This is a long non-coding RNA of Lotus japonicus, 1489 nucleotides long. RefSeq lists it as uncharacterized. NCBI's taxonomy places the organism in Eukaryota, Viridiplantae, Streptophyta, Magnoliopsida, Fabales, Fabaceae. The record is from RefSeq and is a predicted model, not a curated record. The transcript has 5 exons.
UUCACGAUUCAGUGAUUCACGUUCAACACUCUCGGAACCAAAGAACGAAACCUCCUCUCCUCUUCGUGUUCCUCUCAAUCGAAGAACGAAGGUUUCGUAGUGUGCAGUCAUGGGUUGAAGCCUCCUCUCCUCUUCGUGUUCCUCUCAAUCGAAUCGAAGGUUUCAGAAGCAAAGCUCAGCCAUGGAUUGAAUUGUGAUUUGCCUUUCUUCUCCACCAGAUUUGGAUCGAAGAACUCCAUUUUCUCUGUCUUUCCGUGUUCGCCUCGCCCUUCUUCUUCUACGAUUCGCGAUUCCUGCACAUUGGUGCAAAUCUUCUAGUGACAAUCGAAUCAGCUGCUGAUGUGUUCUUGUGGAUGAAUGAGAAGAUAUCUAUCGUGGCUAUGCUUGCAGUUUUGUGGUUGUGAUCCACUACUCAAGCUUUUAUUUACAAGUAAGACUGAAUUCAGUUUGCAUUGGGAUUUUAGUUAUGGUUUCAAAUCUGCUAGAUUUGAGGGCAUUGGACUGUUGCACUAUAAUUAUUGAAUGAAUGGCUUAAAAUUAACAAGUUCAAAUGAUAAGGAAUGGAGGGAUAAUCAGGUCUCUGAGACUUUAGGAAUGUUUUAAAGUCAAAGUUUUAGUUGUACAGGAAAUGAGUGAAGGGCAGAAUGACUGUUUGAUUACAUUGUGCGUAUGCAUGUCCCGUGGCCCUGCUCCCACUACUCAAAAUGUCUUGAUCUUCCACUGUAUUGAGAGGAGUGAAUUGUAUAUGGGCUGCACUAAUGCAUCUCUGCAAUAAUAUAAAUGUAACCUUGAUCUCAAGCAUGAGAUGCAUAUAUCUCUGAAUGCAUCUUUUCCAGAGGAAAGCCCAAAGACAAGGGACCUGUGAGUUUGCAGGAACUGCCACUGCUAUUACAUCUGACCCUAGUAAAUUUUCAAUCUCCCUUUUCCUUUUUGUUUUUACAUGUUUCUUGAACAAUAAUAGUAGCUAAUUAACCCCCUUUUUUGUUUCUCUGUUUUUCUUGUUUUUGAUGAGCAAGCAUUGGUGGUUUUGUCUACCCUUUCAAGCGCCAGGUGAACAUGGAGUAUGGUCUUGAUCCAACCAUUGCGAAAACGGUUAUGCAAGCAGCUCAAGUAGUUGCAGAGGGAAAGCCCAAUGAUCAUUUUCCACUUGUUGUAUGGCAAACUGGCAGUGGCACGCAGAGUAACAUGAAUGCUAUUGAGAUCUGAUCUAAACCUUUCCUGAGGUUCCAAGGAUAUUAGUUUCACUCACCGUAGCAAUCCCUUGGGUAAGAAAAUGAAUAAGAGAGGGAAGCCAAUAAUUAUUGACCCAAGCCAUUAAGAAAUGCAAUUGAGAGUCUAGAGCUAAGUGAAUAUAUAUUUGUCCUCUGUGUCUUGUUAUGGUAUUUCUAUUUUAUAAAUCACACAAAUGUGUGGAGCUUCUGGCUAGCUUAUAUUUUGUUCUAAGAUACUAGAUAUGCUCUUGGGAAAAUAUUAUAUAUAGGUAGCUGAA